Molecule: small nuclear RNA, 90 nt
Filed under: Cervus hanglu yarkandensis (Yarkand deer)
Lineage: Eukaryota; Metazoa; Chordata; Mammalia; Artiodactyla; Cervidae
Source: RNAcentral
AUGCAGCAUGUAUACUAAAAUUGGAAAGAUACAUUAGCAUGGCCUUUGCAGCAGUAUGACUCCCAAAUUCGUGAAGUGUUCCAUAUUUUU